UGAAAUUCAGAAAAGCUACACAAAGA
RNAcentral lists this non-coding RNA (26 nucleotides) under Homo sapiens (human). The record is from RNAcentral. Lineage: Eukaryota; Metazoa; Chordata; Mammalia; Primates; Hominidae.